UCCUCUGCUACUUAUUUUUAUGUUUCCCUGACACUACACUCCCUCCUGAUUUCCUUCCUACCUUUGCCCAGGAAGAGACAGAGCUAAUUCCACGCUUAUGUACUACAGAAACCACUUCCUAGACUGCAGCUGUUUCAAAUGGUGGCCAGAAGUAUUCCAGAGACUGCUGUGCUAAGACAUCAGCUUUCACAAACAGGAGACUUGUGUUUGCACCUCUGCACCUUGGGUCCUGCUGCCUCCUGGAGAAGGGACAGAGGCGGAGGAGGUGCUGGUGAAAUGUUCAAUGGGAAGGAAUGUUGCUUGGUCCCUGCUUGGGCUUCUCCACAGACACUGAGAAAAGGGAAGCGUGAGGCCUGCCUUUCUGCCUAUACCAGAAGCCCUGAGUCCCACGGUUGAGUACAUACCUUGCAGGUAGGGCUCCUCCAUCUCUGAGUCAGUGGUGGUGGUAUGAUCCUGCUGGGGAAGCUUCUCAGGCAAGAACCCCUGUGCAUACUUCUUCUUGAGAUUCCCCACCAGCAGGGACGAGCGUCCCACCUAGAGGACAGGUGACAUGGAGGCCAUAGGGUUAGAUCCUAGACUCCUUGCUACACAGCCUUAUUAUAAUUACAGGUACAAAGUAGUCAGGCAGAUAUCAGACCACCCCAGGCCUCCCCCGCAUGCCACCAUCCAAGGGUGCCCCACUCAAGGAGCACUCUUCUGCUGUCUGGUUCCCAAAGUAAGAAACAGUGGGCAUCACAGUACGGGGACAGCUUGACGAGUCAGGGGUAGUCUAUUCUGCCAGGUGUGUACAAGGGCAGAGAUCGGAUUUCCCUCACCACUCACUGAUCAGGUGCCAGGUUGUGUGUUUAGAGAGCACCAGGAGGGGCAGGGCUAAGUGUGCGAGUGUAUUUACAAGACUCAACAUUCCUGUUUUGAUUUCUCUACCUAACCACAGCUGCGGCGGAGGGGCAGCAGCCACAGGGGAGAGCAGGACACAACUGACCCCAGCCACAGAGGAAUGCUCAGUAGAUGGCAGCACCAAGGUUGGCUUUACCUCUUUAGGCCCUUGCUUUGUUUGGGUAACCUGGUGGCACAUGGCAUGUGGCUCUAGGAUGAUGUAAGCUGCUGUUCUAUCUGCCUUCAUUCCAUAGGCUCAGGGUUUCUCCAGAGGCAAGAGGAGGACUAGACUGGGGUGGAGGGGAGGCAUGGAGCAGAGCUAGCUCCUUAUAAGGUGAGCUGCCCCUGGGGAGCUCUGCCACUGGCUGUGGCCAACUUCCAGAAGGAGAGGGCACAAAUGUGCUUGUCUGCUGAUGGUUCAGAAAGUGGUUCACCCACUGCAGAAAUCAAGCUCAAUACUCUGGUGACUUUUAACACUUCCCACAGAUCCAAUACAUGAGCAACAGGCAGAUGGUACCCUAGGGGAUGGGGCUUCCAAUACACAGUCCUCCUGAGCCACUCGCACCGUUUCUGAAGGCCCCGAUUACUCUUCAAGGCUCUGCUCCCAGAAGCACAUCUCAGGCUGCACUCCCAUGCCACUAUCUUGAUUUCCAGCACAGCUUGAGAACUCUGUACUAAUAGGUUCCUUUUGCUAACUGGCCAGAGUUUUGCUGUUCAGGUUUUGGCAUUGAAAACUCAAUAAAGUAUAAUUUUCGAAA
This is a long non-coding RNA of Mesocricetus auratus (golden hamster), 1634 nucleotides long. RefSeq lists it as uncharacterized. The transcript has 2 exons. NCBI's taxonomy places the organism in Eukaryota, Metazoa, Chordata, Mammalia, Rodentia, Cricetidae. The record is from RefSeq and is a predicted model, not a curated record.